GUUUGCAUCAUCUAUUGGUAGGAUAUGGGGCUCAUGACCCCAAGGAUGGGGUUCGAUUCCUCAUGCAAACA
This 71-nucleotide transfer RNA is filed under the name Acrasis kona. Its description in RNAcentral is "tRNA-Met". It matches the Rfam family "tRNA". From Rfam's summary of the family: Transfer RNA (tRNA) molecules are approximately 80 nucleotides in length. Their secondary structure includes four short double-helical elements and three loops (D, anti-codon, and T loops). Further hydrogen bonds mediate the characteristic L-shaped molecular structure. tRNAs have two regions of fundamental functional importance: the anti-codon, which is responsible for specific mRNA codon recognition, and the 3' end, to which the tRNAs corresponding amino acid is attached (by aminoacyl-tRNA synthetases). tRNAs cope with the degeneracy of the genetic code in two manners: having more than one tRNA (with a specific anti-codon) for a particular amino acid; and 'wobble' base-pairing, i.e. permitting non-standard base-pairing at the 3rd anti-codon position. Lineage: Eukaryota; Heterolobosea; Eutetramitea; Acrasida; Acrasidae. The record is from RNAcentral.